UACGUAGGUGGCAAGCGUUGUUCGGAAUUAUUGGGCGUAAAGGGCGCGUAGGCGGUUUGUUAAGUCAGCUGUGAAAGCCCGGGGCUCAACCCCGGAGAGUCGACUGAUACUGGCAGACUAGAGUACGGAAGAGGUAGCUGGAAUUCCCGGUGCAGCGGUGAAAUGCGUAGAUAUCGGGAGGAACACCUGAGGCGAAGGCGGGCUACUGGGCCGAUACUGACGCUGAUGCGCGAAAGCCAGGGGAGCAAACGGG
This 253-nucleotide ribosomal RNA is filed under the name uncultured bacterium. RNAcentral describes it as "partial 16S ribosomal RNA". It matches the Rfam family "Bacterial small subunit ribosomal RNA", at positions 524 to 776 of the family's 1533-position model. The record is from RNAcentral.